AGAGGAUGCUUCGGGCAAGGCUGCGGUCUAAUUCGCUUGGAACAGCGGGUCGCAGAGGGUGAGAAUCCCGUCUAGGACCGCCUGCCGCGUCCAUGUGAAGCUCCUUCGACGAGUCGAGUUGUUUGGGAAUGCAGCUCUAAAUGGGUGGUAAAUUUCAUCUAAAGCUAAAUAUUGGCCAGAGACCGAUAGCGCACAAGUAGAGUGAUCGAAAGAUGAAAAGCACUUUGAAAAGAGAGUUAAACAGUAYGUGAAAUUGUUGAAAGGGAAGCGCUUGCAAUCAGACUUGAGGGGGGCGGUUCCCCCGGUCUCCUGACCGGGUCAUUCCGCCAUCUCCAGGCCAGCAUCGGUUUGGGUGGUCGGUUAAAGGUCCCGGGAAUGUAUCUACCUUCGGGUCGACUUAUAGCCUGGGGCGCAAUGCGGCCCACCCGGACCGAGGUACGCGCUUCGGCUCGGAUGCUGGCGUAAUGGUUGUAAGCGGCCCGUCUUGAAACACGGACCAAGGAGUCUAACAUCUAUGCGAGUGUUUGGGUGUCAAACCCCUACGCGUAAUGAAAGUGAACGGUGGUAAGAACCCCGUCAGGGGCGCAUUAUCGACCGAUCCUGAUGUCUUCGGAUGGAUUUGAGUAAGAGCAUAGCUGUUGGGACCCGAAAG
This 652-nucleotide ribosomal RNA is filed under the name Verrucaria margacea. RNAcentral describes it as "eukaryotic LSU rRNA". It matches the Rfam family "Eukaryotic large subunit ribosomal RNA", at positions 151 to 822 of the family's 3401-position model. The record is from RNAcentral. Lineage: Eukaryota; Fungi; Ascomycota; Eurotiomycetes; Verrucariales; Verrucariaceae.